AAUUUGUUCGAACGGUGGAACAUGUGGUUUAAUGCGAUAAUCCACGUAAAAUCUUACCAAUAUUUAAUAUUAAAUAUUUAUAAAUUAGUAGCAUUACAUAUUAUAUAUAUUUAAUUUCGGUACUGCAUGGCUGUCGUCAGUUCGUGUUGUGAAAUGUAAAAUUAAGUUUUAUUUACGAACGCAACCUAUUGUGUAUUUUAUUUAACUUAAAUUUAGUUAUAUUUAAUACAUAAAUUAAUAUAGUUUUAUAUUAUUUGGUUUUAGCUGAAGUCAAGUCCUUAUGGUCUUUAUAUAUUGGGCUACACACGUGUUACAAAGGCAAAAACAAAAAGUAACAAAUAUGUAAAUAAGAGUAAAUCUUAAAAAAUUGCCCAAGUUCGGAUUAUUUUAUGUAACUCUAAAGUAUGAAGAUGAAAUCGUUAGUAAUUGUAAGUUAGUAUAUUACAGUGAAUCAUAAGUCAAAUUUUGCACACACUGCCCAUCACGCUCGAAAAAUUUUAUAAAGUAGAAGAUAAAGUAAAAUAAAAAUUAAAAAUUUUAAUUAUUUAGUUUUAUUUAUCGUAACUUUAUACAGUAAUUU
This 580-nucleotide ribosomal RNA is filed under the name Philasterides armatalis. RNAcentral describes it as "partial small subunit ribosomal RNA". The stretch from base 1 to 492 matches the Rfam family "Bacterial small subunit ribosomal RNA", at positions 918 to 1533 of the family's 1533-position model. Lineage: Eukaryota; Ciliophora; Oligohymenophorea; Philasterida; Philasteridae. The record is from RNAcentral.